This 247-nucleotide ribosomal RNA is filed under the name uncultured bacterium. RNAcentral's name for it is "partial 16S ribosomal RNA". It matches the Rfam family "Bacterial small subunit ribosomal RNA", at positions 86 to 334 of the family's 1533-position model. The record is from RNAcentral.
AGAUGGCGACCGGCGCACGGGUGAGUAACACGUAUCCAACCUGCCGAUAACUCGGGGAUAGCCUUUCGAAAGAAAGAUUAAUACCCGAUGGCAUAAUUAGACCGCAUGGUCUUAUUAUUAAAGAAUUUCGGUUAUCGAUGGGGAUGCGUUCCAUUAGGCAGUUGGUGAGGUAACGGCUCACCAAACCUUCGAUGGAUAGGGGUUCUGAGAGGAAGGUCCCCCACAUUGGAACUGAGACGCGGUCCAA